This 1438-nucleotide long non-coding RNA is filed under the name Marmota monax (woodchuck). Lineage: Eukaryota; Metazoa; Chordata; Mammalia; Rodentia; Sciuridae. The record is from RNAcentral.
GCCCGUGGCCAGCUCCUGGGCCCCAGAGGAGCUGCUGUGGAGGGUGCUACAUGGCUGCUGGUGCUGCCCAGCCCCUUGCUGUGGCCCUGGGCCUUCCAUGGCUGCUGUUGAGGUGGCCACUGCUCAUCAGGGCUAGGACAAGGGGCAGGAGUUGCAGCGGCCACCACACCCGUGUAUCUCUGGAAGAAACUGGACCAGCCGGGUAGGCCUGGAGGUGCUGCCCCCUCUCCCCACAUAGCCUGGGUGUGGCCACCAGUCCUGCUCUUGGUUCUCCAUGGGGGCUCUGCAGUGACCACUGCUGCCCGUCACAAGAGCCCACAGCUGUACCCUUGGCCAAGGCCACACUCUGGUCCGUGGGGUAGGGCCUGCUGUGCAGGACCAGCCCUCACCCCUGCCUCAGUGCAGCGCCUCUGGACCACCAGCCACUCUGGGAUCUGUGGUCCCCAAGGGACCCUGAGGAUUUGUUGCAGAUGGGUAAACUGAGGCAGUGCCCCAUCUCCUGGUGUGUGGCUGAGCCUAUCUGUGGUUGGCUGUUGCAUCCCUCUGGGCGCCAGCGCCCCCAUCCAGGGAGGGGAGGCAGCCCCCUCUCCUGGCUGGGCAUUUACUGAAGGCCUCCAUACCGGAGCCUGGGAAAGGCAGAGUUGCCCUUGGCUACGGGGCAGGGUGUGCCAUUGUGUGUGUGGAGUGCCUGCAGCAGGUAUGCAGGUGGGUAUGCACGUGUGAAAGUGUGCCACAGGGAGUGUGGGGCACUGCGUGCAGGUACACAUGGGUGCAUGUGGGCGUGUGUGGGUGUAGGUAUAUGUGUGCAGGUGUGUGAGUGUGUGCAGGUACCUGUGGGCAUAAGUGUGUCUGUGCAGGUUUGUGGGUUGUGCUGUUGGGAGCAUGUGGGUGUAUGCAGAGUGUGAGAGGUGUGCAGCUGUGCAGGUGUGUGUGGGUGUGCCAGGUGUAGGAGUGUGCAUGUGUGAGCAGGUGUGUGGGCAUGUGCAGGUGUGCAGGUCUACCUCAUCGUACUCAGAACAGGAGAGCAGUCUGUUGUCAGUGACACUCACUGGGUGACCUGGUGGCCACAGCUGGAAGCGCCUGCUUUCAUUAUGGGUGAAGGAGUUGGCUGGCCCUGUGGCACGUCCACCCUGCAGCCAGGCUGUGAACACAGCGAAGAAGAUACCCUCAGAGCCAUUCUGGGCUGCAAAGACCUGCUGUUGCCCCCUGGUCCAGCAGCACCUGUGGGAGCUGGAAGCUAUCCAUGUUCCUGGGCCGUCCAGAGCAGAGGCCCCAGUUCUGGGGAGCCUGGGGUCCAUGACCGCCCACUUCUUACCACGCCUGCCUCCCCUCUGUCUUCCUUCCAAGCACACCUCCACCUGUCUGCCAGUGACUUCGAGUUGCUGGUCUUGGUCACUGGCCUCCCAUAUACCCUGACGUGGUCGGCUGCCUGUCGGAC